CACAAGCACUGCACAGGACAGUACUUUGAUUAUUGGUCUUGUGUUGAUAAAUGUGUUGCACCAAAAUUAUUCUCAAAACUGAAGUAAUUGAGAGGCUUUUGGGGCAGCUCAUUCGUUAUGUUUGAACUUUGUACUCUUUGCAACAUCAGCUGAAUUUUGUCAGAAGUUNNNNNGUCUUGGAUUGCUUGAAGCAUCCCUUAAUAAUUGUGAAACCUUUAUUCUAAAGUCAAAAAG
This 234-nucleotide unclassified non-coding RNA is filed under the name Hevea brasiliensis (rubber tree). Lineage: Eukaryota; Viridiplantae; Streptophyta; Magnoliopsida; Malpighiales; Euphorbiaceae. The record is from RNAcentral.